GCUGUGAGGAAAUAAAUCGGUUCUAGCGAGGAGCAGUCGCUAGAGGUAACGGGGAAAGUUCGGUGUAAAUCCGGCGCUGUCCCGCAGCUGUAAUGAGACUGAUGUCUUUGAGUCAGAAUGCCCGCCGAUGUUAAUUGAACUGU
This 143-nucleotide non-coding RNA is filed under the name Oscillatoria sp. Lineage: Bacteria; Bacillati; Cyanobacteriota; Cyanophyceae; Oscillatoriales; Oscillatoriaceae. The record is from RNAcentral. RNAcentral also lists the same sequence under 1 other name.